AGCAGCCGCGGUAAUUCCAGCUCCAAUAGCGUAUAUUAAAGUUGUUGCAGUUAAAAAGCUCGUAGUUGAAUUUCGGGGUUAGUAGGUUGGUCAUGCCUCUGGUAUGUACUGGUCUCACUGAUUCCUCCUUCCUGAUGAACCUUAAUGCCAUUUAUUUGGUGUUUUGGGAAUUUGGACUGUUACUUUGAAAAAAUUAGAGUGUUUAAAGCAAGCUAACGCUUGAAUACAUUAGCAUGGAAUAAUGAAAUAGGACGUUCGAUCCUAUUUUGUUGGUUUCUAGGAUUGACGUAAUGAUUAAUAGGGAUAGUUGGGGGCAUUAGUAUUCAAUCGUCAGAGGUGAAAUUCUUGGAUUUAUUGAAGACUAACUACUGCGAAAGCAUUUGCCAAGGAUGUUUUCAUUAAUCAAGAACGAAAGUUAGGGGAUCGAAGACGAUCAGAUACCGUCGUAGUCUUAACCAUAAACUAUGCCGACUAGGGAUCGGAUGAUGUUAAUUUUUUAAUGACUCAUUCGGCGCCUUACG
RNAcentral lists this ribosomal RNA (521 nucleotides) under uncultured Glomeromycotina. RNAcentral's name for it is "SSU rRNA". It matches the Rfam family "Eukaryotic small subunit ribosomal RNA", at positions 569 to 1092 of the family's 1831-position model. Lineage: Eukaryota; Fungi; Glomeromycota. The record is from RNAcentral.